RNAcentral lists this long non-coding RNA (465 nucleotides) under Marmota monax (woodchuck). Lineage: Eukaryota; Metazoa; Chordata; Mammalia; Rodentia; Sciuridae. The record is from RNAcentral.
GUGUAUUGUUUCUUUCUGGUUUAACUAUCAGUUGGAACCCAGGAAGCUGAGAGCCCUGGGUCAGCAUCUAGGGAUAUGGUGUUUACCAGGCAGGAGCAGGUGGGCUGGUGGCUUCUCUUGAAAAUGUUGGUGCCUCUGAACCACUGAUAAAGAAAGAACACAAGGGAGGGGGGCCCUUCCUGAGAGGUCAAUUCCAGUCAGCCUGUGCAAUGGGGUGAAGUGUGUCAAGGGGAAACGUGACCAUGAGCUCACAGACAUUUUAUGAGACCCACAGAUGCCUGAAGCCACAGAUGACACCAAGCCUACAUACAGUUUUCCCUCUACACACAUGCCUAUGACUGUUUACCCUUUCUAUAAAACCUGAGAGUCCUAGACAGCCCCUGAAGAGAUGGCUAAGAACAUGGUGCCCUCGUCUUCCUGGGGUAGCUUCACUGAUCAAAGUUCCUUUCCUGCUUUUCAUCAUGA